UAAGUCAUGACGGUACCGGAAGAAUAAGCACCGGCUAACUUCGUGCCAGCAGCCGCGGUAAUACGAAGGGUGCAAGCGUUACUCGGAAUUACUGGGCGUAAAGCGUGCGUAGGUGGUUUGUUAAGUCUGAUGUGAAAUCCCUGGGCUCAACCUGGGAAUGGCAUUGGAAACUGGAUUACUGAGUGCGGUAGAGGGUAACGGAAUUCCCGGUGUAGCAGUGAAAUGCGUAGAUAUCGGGAGGAACAUCCGUGGCGAAGGCGGCUACCUGGACCAGCACUGACACUGAGGCACGAAAGCGUGGGGAGCAAACAGGAUUAGAUACCCUGGUAGUCCACGCCCUAAACGAUGCGAACUGGAUGUUGGGGGCAACUUGGCCCUCAGUAUCGAAGCUAACGCGUUAAGUUCGCCGCCUGGGAAGUACGGUCGCAAGACUGAAACUCAAAGGAAUUGACGGAACCUCAAAGGAUUUGAGGAUUUUAC
Molecule: ribosomal RNA, 480 nt
Filed under: uncultured Lysobacter sp.
Lineage: Bacteria; Pseudomonadati; Pseudomonadota; Gammaproteobacteria; Lysobacterales; Lysobacteraceae
Description: bacterial SSU rRNA
Rfam family: Bacterial small subunit ribosomal RNA
Source: RNAcentral